This 15396-nucleotide long non-coding RNA is filed under the name Vitis vinifera (wine grape). RNAcentral's name for it is "long non-coding RNA (VVIN_LNC003581)". The record is from RNAcentral. Lineage: Eukaryota; Viridiplantae; Streptophyta; Magnoliopsida; Vitales; Vitaceae.
UGAAAAUGCCAAAUUUUCUAUUUUAAAAGACACAAAAUAGAAAACAGUUUUUAGUUACUAUAACGUGUUUUCUAGGUUUUUUGUUUUAAAGAAUAAAAAACUGUUAUCAAAUAAGACAAUAAUAUCUUGUUUGAUUUAUCAAGAAAAGCUUAGACAAAAAUAAAAUCAAAUAAAAAUAAUUUAAAAAUUCAUAUAUUUUUAAAUUAUACAUUACCUAAAUAAAAAAAAAAAGAGAAAAAAAUUGGAAAAAUAUAGAAUAAAGAUUUAUUUGGUUUAAACUGACAUAUCAGUUUCCCUCAUCUUUCUUAAAUUUUCUAAUAUCCAAAUGGAAUACAAAUGAAAUCCAUUGAUGAGAGAAUGAGAUGACUCUAGGCAACUAAAAGAAUGCUACUUAAACUGUGUUUAAAACCUUUUAGAAUUACUUUUAUGGACAAUUUGUGGAUACUAAAAAGUUGUAAGUAUUUUUGGAAGGAAAUAACUUCAAAGCAGUUUUUUUAUUUUUUAUUUUAUAUUUUUAUUUUUUUACGAAAGUAAAACGUUAAAAAUCUAAAGAAUGAUUUAAAAUAACUUUUGAACUAAUGUUUGGCAAGUGAUUUUUCCUUUUUUUUUUUUUUUUUUUUUGGGGAUUCCAUUACAUAAUGGAAGUGCUUUGAAAACAUUUUUUAUUGCAAGUGUUAGGAGCUAAAUGUACUGUCACAAGAAUCACUCCCAAGUCCAACAGACCUCAUUGAUCUCAUGUAUGAUUUUUCAGAAGGGAGAAAUGAUGAAUACCUUGGAUCAGAAUUCCAUCUCUGCGAAUUUGAAAGGCAACCCUAAUUAGUAGCCAACAAAGGCUGAGCCAAUCCAUUGAAACAAUCAGCAGUAGUCUCUUGCUCAUCAGCUUCUCUCUGCUCUCAGCCAUUGACGGAAUGGAAGCUUGUCCUUAACCUUACUGACUUCAAUUUUAUUGGGUUGCUAUGCCUCCAAUGGGAAAGCUUCACGGAAAGGUCUUUUCACAUGGCCCUUCUUUUCACCAAACGCCUUUUCAAAACUGCACAAAAUUUCGCCCAUCUUUACUUCAGUACAUGGUCCAUAUAUGACAAAAGAAUAUACAAGGCUCCAUUAUUGGCUACAGAGUGGAGACCCCAAUCAUCGUGUCAAGUUGCUCUCGAGUAAAACAAUGACAGCUCAUUGAGAAAGACCAUUAGUCGCUGGAUUCCAUGUGUGGAAAGUUUGAACCCAUUCCACCCUCCAUGUGAUAGCCAUCAACCCUACUAGCAAGUCAUCGUCAAGAGCCAGUGAACUGGAGCUGGAUGGUGGUGCAAUAGGAUAAAAGGCGGCUUUCUUCAAACUUCAGAUUCUUCAAGGUUAUAAUCUCAUCACCAUAAUCAUUAAUUACCACUUGGUGCUUAAUUUUGAUUUAUUGUUUGUUCUAGUCUUUCUGCAUUUCUCUUAACUUUGUUUGGUUUCUGGGAUAAUUGUAUUUGUAGAAACAGCUGAGUGCUAAACCUUUGGAGUUGAGAUCAAAAUUCAACCUUAAACUACCCUUUUUGUGCAGGGAAGAAGGUGAGAUAUGGCUUUGGAGAUUGUGUGUUUCGUUAUCCAUGUUGGGGAGAGGCUGUGGUCUUCAGCGACUGGUCCAGUGAGUAAUCUGGUGAACUAUAGGAAAAAUAUAAAGAAUCUCAAUGAUGAAGUUGAGAAGCUAGAGAUUAUCAGAAGCGAUAAUCGACUUUCAGAGAGGGCCGCCCAGAUGAAUGGAGAAGAAAUCAAAGGCGAGGUUCAGAUGUGGCUGAACAAAUCUGACGCUGUCCGCAGAGGGGUUGAGAGAUUGAAUGGUGAAGUCGACAUGAACAGGACAUGCUUCGGUGGGUGCUGUCCUGAUUGGAUAUCGCGUUACAAGUUAAGCAAGCAAGCCAAGAAAGAUGCACAUACUGUUAGGGGGCUCCAAGGGACGGGAAGAUUUGAAAGGGUUUCGCUCCCAGGACGACGGCAACUGGGAAUCGAGUCGACGCUGUCAUUUGGGGAUUUUCAGGCAUUUGAAUCGACCAAAAGGGCGAUGGAUGAGGUCAUGGUGGCCUUGAAAGAAGAUCGGGUGAAUAUUAUUGGGGUCUAUGGAAUGGGGGGUGUGGGCAAAACAACCAUGGUGAAACAGGUGGGUGCAAAUGCUCACAGAGAUGGGCUGUUUCAGCAUGUUGCAAUGGCUGUGAUAUCCCAGAAUCCGGAUUUGAGGAAAAUUCAAGCCCAAAUUGCAGAUAUGUUGAACUUGAAGCUAGAAGAGGAGAGUGAAGCUGGGAGGGCAGCAAGGUUGAGGGAGAGGAUAAUGAGAGGCAAGAGUGUUCUCAUAAUCUUAGAUGACAUAUGGAGAAGAAUUGACUUAUCUGAGAUAGGAAUUCCCAGUACUGGCAGUGACCUUGAUGCCUGCAAAUCCAAAAUCUUACUGACCACAAGGCUUGAAAAUGUGUGUCAUGUCAUGGAAAGCCAAGCAAAAGUCCCUCUGAAUAUUCUGUCUGAACAGGAUUCUUGGACCUUGUUUGGGAGGAAAGCAGGGAGAGUAGUGGAUUCUCCUGAUUUUCAUAAUGUAGCACAGAAGAUUGUCAAAGAAUGUGGAGGCCUCCCAAUUGCUCUGGUGGUUGUUGCUAGAGCAUUAGGCGAUAAGGACUUGGAUGAAUGGAAAGAAGCUGCAAGACAACUAGAAAUGUCCAAGCCAACAAACCUGGAUGAUGAUGGGGGUGUUUUCAAAUGUAUAAAACUGAGCUAUGACUAUUUGAAAGGCAAUAGCACCAAACCAUGUUUUCUGAUUUGUUGUUUGUUUCCAGAGGACACGGACAUCAGCAUCGAAGACUUGGUGAAGUACGGAUUGGGGCAAGGGCUGUUUCAAGAGGCCAACACAAUCGAAGAGGCAAGAGGCAGAGCACGUUCUGUUGUCAAGUACCUCAAGGCUUGCAGUCUGUUGUUGGACAGCACAGAGGAGGGCGGUGUGAAAAUGCAUGACGUUGUCCGCGAUAUGGCUAUACUACUCGUAUCAUCUGAAGACAAUAAUGCCUUUAUGGUGCAAUCUGGUAGCGCCUUAAAGGUGUGGCCGACAAAGGACAGCUAUGAAGCCUACACAGCCAUCUCACUCAUGUCCAACGAAAUCGAGGAGCUCCCUGAUGGGCUAGUAUGCCCCAAGCUUCAGACAUUGUUAUUACAGAAUAACAAUGAUAUACAAGAGAUCCCAGAUGACUUUUUUGGAAGCUUCCACUCCCUGAGAGUCUUAGACCUCAAUGGUGCUGACAUCCCAUCACUACCCCCUUCGCUUGGACUCCUGAGAAGCCUUAGGACGCUAUGCCUAGACUGCUGCCAGUCAAUAACAGACAUAUCCAUACUGGGGAAAUUGGAGAAACUUGAGAUUCUUAGUCUCAGAGAAUCCUACAUUGAGGAUUUGCCAGAAGAACUGGCCCAGCUGGCCAAUCUGAGGAUGCUGGAUUUCACUAUGAGUAACAACAUCAAAUCAAUUCCUCCUAAAGUGAUAUCAAGCUUGUCCAGGUUAGAAGAGAUGUACAUGCAGGGUAGCUUCGCAGACUGGGGUCUGCUGCUUGAAGGAACAUCAUCAGGAGCCAACGCCGGUUUUGAUGAGCUAACGUGCUUGCAUCGCUUAAAUAUCUUGAAGGUAGACAUCUCUGAUGCUGAGUGCAUGCCUAAAACUGUGAGGUUUGAUCCAAACUGGGUAAACUUUGAUAUAUGCAUAAGCAGGAAGCUGUUCACCCGGUUCAUGAAUGUGCAUCUGUCAAGAGUUACAGCUGCUCGAUCAAGAGCCUUGAUUCUCGAUGUCACCAUCAAUACCUUGCCAGACUGGUUCAACAAAGUGGCCACUGAAAGAACCGAGAAACUAUACUACAUAGAAUGCAGGGGUCUAGACAACAUUCUUAUGGAAUAUGAUCAAGGAAGCUUAAAUGGCCUCAAGAUCCUCCUUGUCCAGAGUUGCCAUCAGAUAGUACACCUCAUGGAUGCAGUAACAUAUGUUCCAAACAGACCUUUGUUCCCUAGCUUGGAAGAGCUGCGUGUUCACAAUCUUGACUACUUGAAAGAGAUCUGCAUUGGGCAACUUCCGCCUGGAUCGUUGGGGAACAUGAAGUUCUUGCAGGUGGAGCAGUGCAAUGAGCUGGUGAAUGGGCUGCUGCCGGCUAAUCUGUUGCGGAGACUAGAGAGUCUGGAAGUCCUUGAUGUGAGUGGGAGCUAUUUGGAAGACAUAUUUAGGACUGAAGGACUCAGGGAAGGAGAAGUUGUGGUGGGAAAGCUGAGAGAACUGAAACUGGAUAAUCUACCUGAACUGAAGAAUAUAUGGAAUGGCCCUACCCAGCUUGCAAUAUUCCACAAUCUGAAGAUUUUGACAGUGAUAAAGUGCAAGAAACUGAGGAAUCUAUUCACAUACAGUGUGGCUCAAAGUCUCAGAUAUCUGGAGGAGCUGUGGAUUGAGUAUUGCAAUGGUUUGGAGGGAGUUAUUGGGAUGCAUGAGGGUGGAGAUGUAGUGGAGAGGAUCAUUUUCCAGAACUUGAAGAACUUGUCCUUGCAAAAUCUUCCAGUGCUCAGAAGCUUUUAUGAAGGAGAUGCAAGAAUUGAAUGCCCAUCCUUGGAACAACUGCAUGUGCAGGGCUGCCCAACAUUUAGGAAUUACUCACCUUAUUUCCACAGUACAAACCAAUUCCAAGUAAACAAUGAACAACACUUGCUCCUCCUGCGAAAAAGGUAUGGUUUAGUAAUAAUGUUAGAUUUUUUUUUCCCCUAAAUUUUCUAACUUUUUUUUUCUUCUUAUUUCCUACUUUUUUUUUUUGUCAUAAGGUUGUGGGAGGAGAGAACUUUCCUAGAAGAAAAUUUAUGAAUCGGCGAGCAAAAGGGCAAAGGAGGUUGGAACCAUUAUGUUCAUCAAGCUGAUUUGGGUCCAGUAAAUACAUAUACAUAUAUACAUACAUAUAUAGGUGUGUGUAUAUAUUACAUACAUGCAUACAUACGUAUGUGUAUAUAUAUAUAUGUUUGUGUGUGUGUAUUAGCAAAUUUUCAAUUGGAUAUUUGCCAAUUAAGAAGUUGACGAUUGAAACUUGAGAUGCUUUAAUCCUUGAAGUGUUCUAUUCAUCACCCUUUUGGUUUUGAUUGCCAUCUCUAGUUACGCUUAUAGUGAACCUUCCCUUGAAAUAUGCUAUUAGACUCCAUAAUUUGCCUAAUUUUUCCAAAAGAUUUUAUGCAAAAAAAAAAAAAAAAAAAAAAAACCACGAGCUUUUAAGGUCCACAAGAACUCCAAAAAUUCAAAUAGAAAUAAACCAUAAGUCAAGCUCAAACCCAAAAGUUCUUUCAAGAAAUUAAACACAACUACAGAAGUAUACUAUUUUGCUCCCAUAAAUUCACUUAUAUAUCACAAAUAAAAGAUGCAGAUAUGUACAUGGAUCUAAAUACAAAUUUCAUUUCCAUCUUACAAAAUACACAAUCUCUUGAAAAAUCUCCAAAAUACAACCAUUCAAUAAAUUAAGAUCCCAACAUAGUAAAAAAGGGAACCUUCAUCCUUCCAAUUGGAACAUGUAUAUAUAUAUAUUUGGAUGCUAGCUCCCUUUUCUAUCAUUGGUUUUUUAACAUGAGCAACUUGCUAUCUUUCAGAAGGAUUCUUUCUACCUUGAGAAGUAUAUGGCUUUUACACAUAUGAAACAUAGCACAAUUAGGUAAUACACAUUCAUGACAUGAAUUGUAACAUAAUUUAAACAUCACAUAAUUAGAAGGGUGCAUUGUGGUUCUAAGGUUUUCAACUAAAGAUACUAGUCCAUGUCUAAUACACUCCUUAUUGAUCCAAACUUGAAAUCUCCUCUCUUCUCAAUUUGCCCUCUUUAGGAUCUUUUCAUCUCUCAUUUUUAUUUUAUUUCCGAUUCACACUGUCUUAUCAUUUUUUCAGUUUCACACAAUAUGAAUGCACUUAUAUGUACAAUGAUUUUUUUUGUCCUAAAAUAAUCUCAUAUCGAACACAUAAUAGACAUAUAUUCAUCUCAUGUAGCAAGUGAAUCAACAUAUUAAACAACUAUGAGUCAAUAAUCAACAUCUAGAGAGAAUAUUUUCAACAAUCAACAAUAUUAUAACUAUUAGAAAUACAUACAAAGAGAAGUAGCAACACAAGUCUAAAAUUUUUGAAAUAAAAGUUAAACAACUUCUCGAAUUUGGUUAAAGCAUGAUAAGGCAUGAUCCUUAAAGUAGUUCCAUGCUCCUAUGAGAUUGUGUCUUGGCACAAUAGGAUAACAAUGGACAUUCUACCUCCAGGAUGCAACAACCAAUGUUACUUGUAGAGGUACACUACUUUGUAGAGUAGAGAUGAUAGCUUUGGAUGCUUUACUCUUCCAAGGACUUGAGAAGAGUGGUAGAAGGAAAGAGAAAAACCACUUAAGGAUAGAGUAACAAAAAGAGCUCACAAGGCUUCAAAGGAGAGAAGCUUUGAGAUGGGAUGAAGAAAUACCUAGACUACAACUCUAUUUAUAAGCUCUCAAGAUUGGCUCAAAUAGGUAGAAUAUAUGAUUGGAGGCAUGAUUGAUCCAACUAAUUAGCUAAUUGAUUUCAACCAAUUGCUAAUUAAUUAAGCCAAUCGAGGAGGAAAUUGUUUUUUGUUGAGUCCAUUAAGACAUUUGUUGACCAAUAAAAAUGAAUUAAAUGAUUUCAAUCAAUGGCUAAUUAAGCCUAUUAAACAAUUGUUAAUCAAUCAAAAGUUUUACACAUACACUUUCCAACCAUUCCUCACAUUGUGCAUGAGUGGAGUAAUAAUAGAGGAUGACUGGAGGAAGCAUAUACUAGAAUCUAAUGAAUAAGAACAGAUGCCCUUGGGUUAUGAGCCAACCUUAGAAUAAGUAGGUUGUGAGCCAUAAAAAUAUGGUGAAAGUUAAAUCUGCAAUGAACCAGAAUUUCUUUAUGUGAGACAAGGAACCUAUUAUCCACAUUGGUUUCUCAAGUUAGAGUUGUCCAUAAUGUGUUGAUGUGAAUAGGCCAUAGAUCUUACUUGAAUAUUUAUGAGAGCUCUAUAGACCUUGCCUAAGUUCUCAUAGGAAAUGACCCAUUUCUAUACUCAUAUAGGUGAAUCUAUCAAGCAUAUCCUGCAAUUAUAAACACCACUAAUAAGUGAAAUGGUAUUCACUAAGAUAUGUACUCAUCUUCAAUCAUUGUAGAAUACACUCCACCUACACCUUAGUGAUGGAUUCUCAUAUAUAAGUAGUUGAUAGACUAUUUCAUAGUCAAUAAGUCACUUGCUAUUACUUACACGAACCUGCUUCCUUUGAUCUCUAUUAAUGUAAGUUGGGUUACUUAUGAGGACUCAAAUUCAACACUUCAAUGGGCUUUAUAGAACCUAUUUUAGUGUAUUUGGGAUACUUUUAUUGUUAGUGUCUAAGCAAGUUGCAUUUGAUUAUUUUUGUGUUUGUUUUGUAUGUUUUAGGUGCAAACUAGAUAUUAAAAUCAAUGGAACAAAGUAUUUUGAGCUUUAAUGGAGAUUGUGGGAGAGGUUUCAAGACUUGUGGUUGUUAAAGAAAGCAAGUUUAGAAAGAAGAAAUAGUUAAACAAGACCUUGUUCAAGCUUGCAUAAAUAAAUUGGCAAGGAAAAGGCUUGAACAACCUCGAGCAAGAAGAGUUUGACAAGGCGAAGCUCGAGUAAAGAAGGAAUCCUGCCUAGAAGAGGCUUAAGCAAGUAUGAGCAAAGUGAGCUACACUUAAGCCAACCAUGACCUUGCUUAUGUGGCCUCACAUAAUAGGCCAUAACAAGCAUGAACACCUCUAAGCAAGUUUGCCAGACCAGAUCUGUAGAACAAUUCAAGUAGCCAUGUAGCCUCACACAAAAAGCUUGAGCAAACAUGACCACCUUUAAGCAAGUUUGCUUGAGCAGAUUUAGAACAAUUCAGGUAGCCAUGUAGCCUCACACAAAAGGCCUGAUCGAAAAUGAACACGUUUAAGUAAACAUAUCUUAGCACACUUGGGUAAUUUCAAGUAACACUCAAACAUCCACAACUUUGUUUAGACAACUUUUAGCAAACAUUACCUAGUUUGAACAACCUUUAAGGGUACUUACUUCAAGGCAUAUGGCCACCUCUAGAGUUGACAUGUGGUAGCAAAGCGGUAAGAUACACCAACCCUAGGCUGCCAUGUGAUAACUAAAGUGGCAAAAAAAAAAAAAAAUCAUUAUUUUAGCUUUUCUAAGAAUGUAUCGACUUAUUUGGUUGAGUAUAAAAGGAAAAUUCUCAGAUUUCAAUAGUAGGAUUCCACUAUUACAGUAAGAGUAAAAGUAGGUUAGUGAAGCUAUUUCAUCGUAGGAGUAGUAGGUCAGAAAGGCUACCAAAGCUUAUGAUUUUGACUUUUAUCUUCAUUCUAUAAUUAAUAUUUUGAGUUUAUUUUUGUUUCAGAAUCUAAGCAUAGUUAACAUUUCUAGUUGAAUCUUCUAGUACAACCAUUAUUUCAAUUUGUAGUUUAUUAAUGAAAUGUUAAUUUUUUAUUUCUAGUUUUUAAAUUUGUAGUUUCAAUUUUUUAAUUUUUGAAUUUCUUCUAUCUUGAAAUUUCAAUUUUGUUCCAACUUAAUUUCUUGCUUUGCUUGUUUUAUUUAUUUAUUUUUUGUUUUCUUUUGUUUUGUGUGUAUGUGUGUGUGUGUUUUUUUUUCUAUGUUAUUGUUUUUCAAUUUCAAUAUCAAUAGUUGGAUUUCUUAAGACACUGAGAGAGUGAGGGAAGAUGAGGUAAAUCAUACAGUAUUUUAGUCCUUUAAUGUCCUAAACUGAUUGUGUUGAGGUUAUGGGAAUUCUAGAAAAGGCAUGCGUUUGCUGACUAGUUGUGAGGGCUAAAAGACAAGCAACCUUGGGAGUGGAUUUCAAUUGUGUUGAUAUGGGUUCACUUGAGCUAAACGCUAUCAUUUCAUUUUGGAUUCAUUAUAUGAACCUAAUGCCAAAAACACUGGUUUAGUAAUAUAUUUCCCCUCAACCUUAGGUCAAAAGCAUCUAGUUUAGGAGAAUGAUUUAAGCUAAGGGUGAUUUCCUUUAUGGAUCUUUGCCUUUGGUGUUUGAUUGUUUUCAUAUGUUGAUUUUGGAAAAUUUUAUUAUUUAUUUUUCAAUUUCCCUUUAUCUUUGUUAAGUUUCCUAAGUUGUCUCCACUUGCAAAGCCAUUCACUUUGAAUAACCCAUUUUUUAUAUCUCUCUGAUUGAAAUCAUUGGAUCCUUGUGGGUUGGACCCCAUACUCAUUGGGUCGGGUACUAUUUUGAAGGUUCUUAAGCUCAGUAACACCCACAAAAAUAAAAAUUUUAGUGGGUUUUAAAAGCUCUAAGGUUGUAAUCUUCUUUAAUAAUAGUGGAAGUUUUGUUUUUGUCUUCACCCAUGGAUGUAAACUUUAAGCUGAAAUAUGUAAAUCGUCAUGUGUUUUUUAUUUUUGUAUUCUUAUUUCUCUUUCUUUGUUAUUAUUCUUGGUCAUGGUUUUUCACAACAAACUGGUAUCAAAAUACAUGUUAUUAAACUUGAAAUGACAAUAGAGUUUGAGCUUGAGAAGUUAUUUAAAUUUAUGGUACGUUAAGAUGCGUGCCUUAUUGGUUUAAUUAUGAUUGUCCAAAACAUUGAAGGGUAGAGAGACCCUAUUAACAAUGAUGUAUGAUGAAGAGAAAGAUGAAUUUAUGAAGAAAACAUAUAAUGCUAUCCUGUUGUAGAAGAGGAUAGAAUUGCCAAGUUAUGGUUGAAGUUAAAAAGUCUACAUAUGACGAAAUCUUUUUCAAAUCGCUUGUAUUUGAAGAAGUUAUCCACUCUUUAAAUGAAAGAAGAUACAUCUAUUAAAGACCACAUUGAUAAAUUUAAUAAAACUAUCACGAAUUUGAUGUUAAAAUUAAUGAUGAAGAUCAAACCAUAAUUUUAAUGUAUUUCUUAUUGAAUUCUUAUAAGCACUUUAUGAAUACUAUGAUAUAUGGUAGAGAUACUCUCUUUAUAGAGGAUGUUAGAUUAACCUUGAAUUCAAAGGAGUUGAAGAAGAGGGUUUUUUGAUAGUAGAAAAGAAAACUCGGGUGAAGGUUUGGUGAUUAGAGGGAGAAAAAGAAACGUUAUUAGAAAUAUUUCCAUAAACAUUUUAGAUAGUGAAGGGAAAAGGUUAUGACAUGAAGAUGAGUUUGUAAAGAUUACACGAAAUGGAUAAAUAUGAGAGAAAGAAUGAGAGACAUAUGAUAAAACAAAGGGAUGUAUAGUUGCGGAUGUAAAUACAAAGAGUGGGAAAAUAUGUAAUGUUUCGAGAAUCUGAUAGCUGCAUAUGAUUUUUGUCAUAUGUAAUAUUCUCUAUGGUAUAACAAAAAGAUUCAUUCUCAUCCGUAGAUAUAUGUAUGGUUAGUCAAACAACGUUAAAACCUCAUGUACUUUUGUAUGAAUUAUUUUAUCUUUAUAUUUCUAAACUAAUAUUAUUUGCAUUAAAACCUCUAGGGGCAACAAUUUAGUAUUAAAACAAGUUUUUUAGUUGUAAUUUUUGUACAAAAAUUGUAUCAGCUCAAUUUUAGCUCAAACUGAAAGAAUCAAAAUAAACUAAGAAGAAUUAAUGUUGAGUCAUAUUGGAGUUUAGGUGAAUAAACAAAUUAGUUGAAUUUACUUAAAUUUGACCAGCUCAUUCGGUUCUUGGUGGAUUGAUUAAAAACCAACCAAAAUCGUAGAGUGUCAACUUUUAUUAAUCAUAGAGUUAUUAGAGACUACCAUGCUUUGUAUGCGUGGAAGGAAUCAAUAUUUUUUGCUUUGACUGGACAUCAAAUAAAACAUAAAACAUAAAAACUAACAUAGGGCCUAUUUGGUAACUAUUUUUGAAAAUAGUUUUGAAAAAUAGUUUUUGAAAAAAGUUUUGAAAAUUGUUUUAUGAUAUUUUGUAGAACAAAAAAUUGUUUAGAAAUUUAAAAUAUUUUUAACUUGUUUUAAAUUUUUUAAAAUAAUUUUUAUUUGUAGUGCUUUCAUCCUUAAUGUUUGUACAAUUAUUUUUUAAAACAAUUAUCAUAAAAUAAGUGAAAAUAACUAAAAUAUGUUAUCUGAAAAUACCAAAUUUUCUAUUUUAAAAGACACAACAUAGAGAACAGUUUUUGGUUACUAUAACAUGUUUUCUAGGUUUUUUGUUUUGAAGAAUAAAAAACUGUUACCAAACAAGGUCAUAAUAUCUUGUUUGAUUUAUCAAGAAAAGCUUAGACAAAAAUCAAAUCAAAUAAAAGUAAUUUAAAAAUUCAUAUAUUUUUAAAUUAUACAUUACCUAAAUAAAAAAAAAAAAGAGAAAAAAAUUGGAAAAAUAUAGAAUAAAGAUUUAUUGGGUUUAAACUGACAUAUCAGUUUCCCUCAUCUUUCUUAAAUUUUCUAAUAUCCAAAUGGAAUACAAAUGAAAUCCAUUGAUGAGAGAAUGACAUGACUCUAGGCAACUAAAAGAAUGCUACUUAGACUGUGUUUAAAACCUUUUAGAAUUACUUUUAUGGACAAUUUGUGGAUACUGAAAAGUUGUAAGUAUUUUUGGAAGGAAAUAACUUCAAAGCAGUUUUUUUAUUUUUAUUUUUUUACGAAAGUUAAACGUUAAAAAUCUAAAGAAUGAUUUAAAAUAACUUUUGAACUAAUGUUUGGCAAGUGAUUUUUCCUUUUUAUUUUAUUUUAUUUAUUUUGGGAUUCCAUUACAUAAUGGAAGUGCUUUGAAAACAUUUUUUAUUGCAAGUGUUAGGAGCUAAAUGUACUGUCACAAGAAUCACUCCCAAGUCCAAUAGACCUCAUUGAUCUAAUGUAUGAUUUUUCAGAAUGGAGAAAUGAUGAAUACCUUGGAUCAGAAUUCCAUUUCUGCGAAUUUGAAAGGCAACCCUAAUUAGUAGCCAACAAAGGCUGAGCCAAUCCAUUGAAACAAUCAGCAGUAGUCUCUUGCUCAUCAGCUUCUCUCUGCUCUCAGCCAUUGACGGAAUGGAAGCUUGUCCUUAACCUUACUGUCUUCAAUUUAGUUGGGUUGCUAUGCCUCCAAUGGGAAAGCUUCACGGAAAGGUCUUUUCACAUGGCUCUUCUUUUGACCAACCGCCUUUUCAAAACUGCAAAAAAUUUCGCCCAUCUUUACUUCAGUACAUGGUCCAUAUAUGACAAAGAAUAUACAAGGCUCCAUUAUUGGCUACAGAGUGGAGACCCCAAUCAUCGCGUCAAGUUGCUCUCGAGUAAAACAAUGACAGCCCAUUUGUCGCUGGAUUCCAUGUGUGGAGAGUUUGAACCCAUUCCACCCUCCAUGUGAUAGCCACCAACCCUACUAGAAAGUUAUCGUCAAGAGACAGUGAACUGGAGCUGGACGGUGGUGCAAUAGGAUAAAAGGCGGCUUUCUUCAAACUUCAGAUUCUUCAAGGUUAUAAUCUCAUCACCAUAAUCAUUAAUUACCACUUGGCGCUUAAUUUUGAUUUAUUGUUUGUUCUAGUCUUUCUGUAUUUCUCUUAAUUUUGUUUGGUGUCUGGGAUAAUUGUAUUUGUAGAAACAGCUGAGCGCUAAACCUUUGGAGUUGAGAUCAAAAUUCAACCUUAAACUACCCUUUUUGUGGAGGGAAGAAGGUGAGAUAUGGCUUUGGAGAUUGCGAGUUUCGUUAUCCAGGUUGGGGAGAGGCUGUGGUCUUCAGCGACUGGUCCAGUGAGUAAUCUGGUGAACUAUAGGAAAAAUAUAAAGAAUCUCAAUGAUGAAGUUGAGAAGCUAGAGAUUAUCAGAAGCGAUAAUCGACUUUCUGCGAGCGCCGCCCAGAUGAAUGGAGAAGAAAUCAAAGGCGAGGUUCAGAUGUGGCUGAACAAAUCUGACGCUGUCCUAAGAGGGGUUGAGAGAUUGAAUGGUGAAGUCGACAUGAACAGGACAUGCUUCGGUGGGUGCUGUCCUGAUUGGAUAUCGCGUUACAAGUUAAGCAAGCAAGCCAAGAAAGAUGCACAUACUGUUAGGGAGCUCCAAGGGACGGGAAGAUUUGAAAGGGUUUCGCUCCCAGGGCGACGGCAACUGGGAAUCGAGUCGACGCUGUCAUUGGGGGAUUUUCAGGCAUUUGAAUCGACCAAAAGGGCGAUGGAUGAGGUCAUGGUGGCCUUGAAAGAAGAUCGGGUGAAUAUUAUUGGGGUCUAUGGAAUGGGGGGUGUGGGCAAAACAACCAUGGUGAAACAGGUGGGUGCAAAUGCUCACAGAGAUGGGCUGUUUCAGCAUGUUGCAAUGGCUGUGAUAUCCCAGAAUCCGGAUUUGAGGAAAAUUCAAGCCCAAAUUGCAGAUAUGUUGAACUUGAAGCUAGAAGAGGAGAGUGAAGCUGGGAGGGCAGCAAGGUUGAGGGAGAGGAUAAUGAGAGGCAAGAGUGUUCUCAUAAUCUUAGAUGACAUAUGGAGAAGAAUUGACUUAUCUGAGAUAGGAAUUCCCAGUACUGGCAGUGACCUUGAUGCCUGCAAAUCCAAAAUCUUACUGACCACAAGGCUUGAAAAUGUGUGUCAUGUCAUGGAAAGCCAAGCAAAAGUCCCUCUGAAUAUUCUGUCUGAACAGGAUUCUUGGACCUUGUUUGGGAGGAAAGCAGGGAGAAUCGUGGAUUCUCCUGAUUUUCAUAAUGUAGCACAGAAGAUUGUCAAAGAAUGUGGAGGCCUCCCAAUUGCUCUGGUGGUUGUUGCUAGAGCAUUAGGCGAUAAGGACUUGGAUGAAUGGAAAGAAGCUGCAAGACAACUAGAAAUGUCCAAGCCAACAAACCUUGAUGAUGAUGGGGGUGUUUUCAAAUGUAUAAAACUGAGCUAUGACUAUUUGAAAGGCAAUAGCACCAAACCAUGUUUUCUGAUUUGUUGUUUGUUUCCAGAGGACACGGACAUCAGCAUCGAAGACUUGGUGAAGUACGGAUUGGGGCAAGGGCUGUUUCAAGAGGCCAACACAAUCGAAGAGGCAAGAGGCAGAGCACGUUCUGUUGUCAAGUACCUCAAGGCUUGCAGUCUGUUGUUGGACAGCACAGAGGAGGGCGGUGUGAAAAUGCAUGACGUUGUCCGCGAUAUGGCUAUACUACUCGCAUCAUCUGAAGAAGAUAAUGCCUUUAUGGUGCAAUCUGGUAGCGCCUUAAAAGAGUGGCCGACAAAGGACAGCUAUGAAGCCUACACAGCCAUCUCACUCAUGUCCAACGAAAUCGAGGAGCUCCCUGAUGGACUAGUAUGCCCAAAGCUCCAGACAUUGUUAUUACAGAAUAACAAUGAUAUACAAGAGAUCCCAGAUGACUUUUUUGGAAGCUUCCACUCCCUGAGAGUCUUAGACCUCAAUGGUGCUGACAUCCCAUCACUACCCCCUUCGCUUGGACUCCUGAGAAGCCUUAGGACGCUAUGCCUAGACUGCUGCCAGUCAAUAACAGACAUAUCCAUACUGGGGAAAUUGGAGAAGCUUGAGAUUCUUAGUCUCAGAGAAUCCUACAUUGAGGAUUUGCCAGAAGAACUGGCCCAGCUGGCCAAUCUGAGGAUGCUGGAUUUCACUAUGAGUAAUAACAUCAAAUCAAUUCCUCCUAAAGUGAUAUCAAGCUUGUCCAGGUUAGAAGAGAUGUACAUGCAGGGUAGCUUCGCAGACUGGGGUCUGCUGCUUGAAGGAACAUCAUCAGGAGCCAACGCCGGUUUUGAUGAGCUAACGUGCUUGCAUCGCUUAAAUAUCUUGAAGGUAGACAUCUCUGAUGCUGAGUGCAUGCCUAAAACUGUGAGGUUUGAUCCAAACUGGGUAAACUUUGAUAUAUGCAUAAACAGGAAGCUGUUCAACCGGUUCAUGAAUGUGCAUCUGUCAAGAGUUACAGCUGCUCGAUCAAGAUCCCUGAUUCUCGAUGUCACCAUCAAUACCUUGCCAGACUGGUUCAACAAAGUGGCCACUGAAAGAACCGAGAAACUAUACUACAUAAAAUGCAGGGGUCUAGACAACAUUCUUAUGGAAUAUGAUCAAGGAAGCCUAAAUGGCCUCAAGAUCCUCCUUGUCCAGAGUUGCCAUCAGAUAGUACACCUCAUGGAUGCAGUAACAUAUAUUCCAAACAGACCUUUGUUCCCUAGCUUGGAAGAGCUGCGUGUUCACAAUCUUGACUACUUGAAAGAGAUCUGCAUUGGGCAACUUCCGCCUGGAUCGUUGGGGAACAUGAAGUUCUUGCAGGUGGAGCAGUGCAAUGAGCUGGUGAAUGGGCUGCUGCCGGCUAAUCUGUUGCGGAGACUAGAGAGUCUGGAAGUCCUUGAUGUGAGUGGGAGCUAUUUGGAAGACAUAUUUAGGACUGAAGGACUCAGGGAAGGAGAGGUUGUGGUGGGAAAGCUGAGAGAACUGAAACGGGAUAAUCUACCUGAACUGAAGAAUAUAUGGUAUGGCCCUACCCAGCUUGCAAUAUUCCACAAUCUGAAGAUUUUGACAGUGAUAAAGUGCAGGAAGCUGAGGAUUCUAUUCACAUACAGUGUGGCUCAAAGUCUCAGACAUCUGGAGGAGCUGUGGAUU